Molecule: long non-coding RNA, 446 nt
Organism: Salvia hispanica
Lineage: Eukaryota; Viridiplantae; Streptophyta; Magnoliopsida; Lamiales; Lamiaceae
Source: RefSeq, a predicted model, not a curated record
GUUUAUGAAUCUCAUCAUAUAUAUAUAUACACAUAUAACUCCAUAUAAUUUUUAGUUUGAUGAUUCACAAAUCAUAAAGAGUUGGGCGGUUUGAUCUCUUUCCAUGGACACCAGGGUGAAAACUCGGGUGGGUUCAGUGCCUCGAUUCGGAGCAUGGGACGAUGGAAAGAGUGAAACCGACUUCUCUGAACUGUUUAUGGAAGCUCGCGAAAAAAGGAAGUACAAACACUUGACCACCCGCCAUAGCUUCAAUAAGACUCCUCCUGUGCCCAUGCAACGAGCGAAAAGGAAGGAGAAAAAGAAGAAGAAAAGUGUUAGUUGGUUUUGUUGUUUAUUUAGGUGUUGAAUUCCAAAUUUUGUUGGUUAGUGAUUGAGCAAAUAUUGUAAAUUUGUAACCGAGUUUCUUCCUCCCAUUUUUCAAAUAGAGUGCCAUGAUUUUUCACUUA